UUUUACAUUUUCCUACAAAGCAAACACUUCGCCGCAAUUUUUAUCGCUUCCUGCGCGUCACGUUCCGAAGUUCAGGCGUCGGGUUUCCAUUUUCCAUUUCCCUCUUGAUUACUCUCUAUCGGCCGUCGCGAUCGCUUUAUUGAAGGUCAUGAAAACUACAAGAUUUUAAGUCUCUUUCAAACACCAAGUAAGCCUUUCUAUGGAUGAAAAAGGAUUUUUGCAGGGUAAUCGGAUAGAAGAUGUUCGCUGGCUUUGUUCCCUGUCUGAGUCAGAGCUUGAUAUGCUGAUUAGCUUGAAAAAGAUGGUUGUCCAACGGGCAAAGGUCAUUGGUCAUGAAUCUCUAGCGAAGAAAUUUGAUUUGAAGAUGUAUAGAGCACUUGGUUUCAUUUUCUUGGAGCACCUUAAAGAACAACUAAAGGAUGUGUCUGCCACUCCUGGCUUGAACAAAUCAUCCGGUUUCUUAGAUAGAUGCAAUUUACUGAACAGCAACCUCAAUGACAGUUUUGGCACUAUGAGUCUUCAAGAGUUAAGGACAUAUGUUGGUGCUGAUCAGAGAAAGAGAAUAGCAGAAAUAUUUGUUGAUGAUGAAGCUCCUGAUCAGAAGAAGAAGGCUAAGUCUAAAAAUUCCUUUUGAGUAAGUGAUCUUGCAUGGUAGUUUUAUUGAGGUUGUCUUUAUCCACUGGUUGAAUGUGCAGGAUUUUCAUCAAAUAAGGGAAGGAAAAAUGCUGAGAAUGUUCAAAUUGUGGGGAAUACGGACUGCAUGCAGGCAUGAGAAAGACAGACUGGGUUGCAGGAGCACGACGAACACUGGCGAUGACUGAUGAGUGAUGAUCAUAAUGAAAGGCUCACUUUGUUGGCCUCUGUGGAACUGUUUUUUCAUAAUAAGUCCAAAACAAACUUCCUCAUCAAAUUUGUGAAUGUCAUUUUGAGUAGCAUUGUGAUUUGAGAUCCACGAUUCUUGUCUUUGCCAUGCAAUGGGGAGGCCCUUUAAGUGAUAUAAUUCUCCAACAUUUUCCUUCU
Molecule: RNA transcript, 1020 nt
Organism: Diospyros lotus (date-plum)
Lineage: Eukaryota; Viridiplantae; Streptophyta; Magnoliopsida; Ericales; Ebenaceae
Exons: 6
Source: RefSeq, a predicted model, not a curated record